This 405-nucleotide ribosomal RNA is filed under the name uncultured bacterium. Its description in RNAcentral is "partial 16S ribosomal RNA". It matches the Rfam family "Bacterial small subunit ribosomal RNA", at positions 28 to 526 of the family's 1533-position model. The record is from RNAcentral.
GAUGAACGCUGGCGGCGUGCCUAAUACAUGCAAGUCGAGCGACGCGGGGACGGGUGAGUAACCCGUGGAUAAACUCCUAUAAGAACGGGAUAAUUACGGGAAACAGGAGCUAAACAGGAUACUUAUAGAUUGAUCCGCGCUGCAUUAGCUAGUUGGUAAGGUAACGGCUGACAAAGGAAACGAUGCACAGCCGACCUGAGAGGUGGAUCGGCCAAACUGGGACUUAGACACGUUCCAGACUCCUACGGGAGGCAGCAGUAGGGAAUCUUCCGCAAUGGGCGAAAGUCUGACGGAGCAACGCCGCGUGAGUGAUUAAGUUAUUCGGAUCGUAAAACUCUGUUAUUAGGGAAGCGGUAACUAAUCAGAAAGUCACGGCUAACUACGUGCCAGCAGCCGCGGUAAUAC